UGGGGAAUAUUGGACAAUGGGGGAAACCCUGAUCCAGCCAUGCCGCGUGUGUGAAGAAGGCCUUUUGGUUGUAAAGCACUUUAAGCAGUGAAGAAGACUCUUCGGUUAAUACCCGGAGACGAUGACAUUAGCUGCAGAAUAAGCACCGGCUAACUCUGUGCCAGCAGCCGCGGUAAUACAGAGGGUGCAAGCGUUAAUCGGAAUUACUGGGCGUAAAGCGAGCGUAGGUGGCUUGAUAAGUCAGAUGUGAAAUCCCCGGGCUUAACCUGGGAACUGCAUCUGAUACUGUCAGGCUAGAGUAGGUGAGAGGAAGGUAGAAUUCCAGGUGUAGCGGUGAAAUGCGUAGAGAUCUGGAGGAAUACCGAUGGCGAAGGCAGCCUUCUGGCAUCAUACUGACACUGAGGCUCGAAAGCGUGGGUAGCAAACAGGAUUAGAUACCCUGGUAGUCCACGCCGUAAACGAUGUCUACUAGUCGUUGGGUCCC
RNAcentral lists this ribosomal RNA (484 nucleotides) under Psychrobacter sp. secD1. RNAcentral's name for it is "bacterial SSU rRNA". It matches the Rfam family "Bacterial small subunit ribosomal RNA", at positions 355 to 831 of the family's 1533-position model. The record is from RNAcentral. Lineage: Bacteria; Pseudomonadati; Pseudomonadota; Gammaproteobacteria; Moraxellales; Moraxellaceae.